GCGCGGUGAUCUCAAGAAGUUUCGGACGGAAAGGGAGAGCAGCAGCGACGGGUGAGUAAAGCACAAGGACUUGUCCCGAAGAGGGGGACAACUGUGGGAAACCACAGCUAAUACCCCAUAAGCCGAGAGGUGAAAGCAGCGAUGCGCUUUAGGAGAGACUUGUGUCCUAUCAGGUAGUUGGUGAGGUAACGGCUCACCCAAGCCGAAGACGGGUAGCCGGACUGAGAGGUUGUACGGCCACAUUGGAACUGAGAGACGGUCCAGACUCCUACGGGAGGCAGCAGUGGGGAAUAUUGGGCAAUGGGGGCAACCCUGACCCAAGCGACGCCGCGUGAGGGAAGACAGCCUUCGGGUUGUAAACCUCUGUUGCAGGGGAAGAAGAAAGUGACGGUACCCUGCGAGGAAGCUCCGGCAAACUACGUGCCAGCAGCUGC
RNAcentral lists this ribosomal RNA (434 nucleotides) under uncultured bacterium. Its description in RNAcentral is "bacterial SSU rRNA". It matches the Rfam family "Bacterial small subunit ribosomal RNA", at positions 64 to 518 of the family's 1533-position model. The record is from RNAcentral.